RNAcentral lists this long non-coding RNA (486 nucleotides) under Phascolarctos cinereus (koala). RNAcentral's name for it is "lncRNA (ENSPCIG00000007598.2)". Lineage: Eukaryota; Metazoa; Chordata; Mammalia; Diprotodontia; Phascolarctidae. The record is from RNAcentral.
CACCUCUCUACCAAAGUUGGAGGGAAGCUUCAACAUCUGUCAUCUGAAGUCUCGUUGGUUGCUACAUUAACCAGAGUUCUGAAGGCUUCCUCCAAUGUUCUUUUCAUAAUAUCACAUGGACUAUCCUUGCUUUGUCUUAUUGACAUGUAGACCAACCACCUUUCUAGUCUUUUAAACAAUUUGAAAAAUUCAGAACUCUCAUUCAUUCAAAAGUUAUUUCGAGUCAUCUCUCCUUCCUGACUCUCUCCACUUCCACUUUGGCUUGAGCAGCAACUGUUGGAAAAAGACUGAACAAUGGACCAAGUUAGUGGAGUGAGGAGGACAAGUACUCAGAGGAAGGACAAGUACUCAGAGACACUGAAACGGAAAGACCUGGCAUGGAAUGAAGGUCAGCAGAUGGAAUCUAGAAGCCAGGGGGUGGUACAGUUCUGUCAUAAAAUUGCUAAAAGUGCCAAGACUUUAAUUAAAAAAAAAUCAAGUGCCAAG